RNAcentral lists this ribosomal RNA (931 nucleotides) under Euastacus valentulus. RNAcentral describes it as "SSU rRNA". It matches the Rfam family "Eukaryotic small subunit ribosomal RNA", at positions 24 to 909 of the family's 1831-position model. Lineage: Eukaryota; Metazoa; Arthropoda; Malacostraca; Decapoda; Parastacidae. The record is from RNAcentral.
UCAUAUGCUUGUCUCAAAGAUUAAGCCAUGCAUGUGUAAGUACAAGCCGAGUUAAGGCGAAACCGCGAAUGGCUCAUUAAAUCAGCUAUGUUUCAUUGGACCUGUAAACCCACUUACUUGGAUAACUGUGGUAAUUCUAUAGCUAAUACAUGCUGCUACACGUCUCUGACCUCAAGGGAAGAGCGCUUUUAUUAGUUCAAAACUGGUCGGGCCUCGGUCCGUUAACCCACAUGUGGUGAAUCUGAAUAACUUUUCGCUGAGCGCACGGUCUCCGCACCGGCGCCGCGUCUUUCAAGUGUCUGCCUUAUCAGCUUUCGAUUGUAAGUUAUUCGCCUACAAUGGCUAUUACAGGUAACGGGGAAUCAGGGUUCGAUUCCGGAGAGGGAGCCUGAGAAACGGCUACCACAUCUAAGGAAGGCAGCAGGCACGCAAAUUACCCACUCCCGGCUCGGGGAGGUAGUGACGAAAAAUAACGAUGCGAGACUCAUCCGAGGCCUCGCAAUCGGAAUGAGUACACUUUAAAUCCUUUAACGAUGAUCCAUUGGAGGGCAAGUCUGGUGCCAGCAGCCGCGGUAAUUCCAGCUCCAAUAGCGUAUACUAAAGUUGCUGCGAUUAAAAAGCUCGUAGUUGGACCUGAGUUCCGGACUGACGGUUGCUGUUCACCGCGAGGUGAUUACGGUCACGCUCCGGACAGGUCGAUUGAUUGAUUUUUGCCCAGCCGGCUUGCACGGGGUGCUCUUCGCCGAGUGUCCCGAGUGGCCGGCACGUUUACUUUGAAAAAAUUAGAGUGCUCAGAGCAGGCUACAUGAAUCGCCUGAAUGUCUAUGCAUGGAAUAAUGUAAGAGGACCUCGGUUCUAUUUGGUUUGGUUUCUGGAACCUGAGGUAAUGACUAAUCGGGACGGGCGGGGGCAUUCGUAUUGCGACGCUAGA